This 468-nucleotide ribosomal RNA is filed under the name uncultured bacterium. RNAcentral's name for it is "bacterial SSU rRNA". It matches the Rfam family "Bacterial small subunit ribosomal RNA", at positions 28 to 507 of the family's 1533-position model. The record is from RNAcentral.
GACGAACGCUGGCGGCGUGCUUAACACAUGCAAGUCGAACGGGGUCCAUGAGAGCUUGCUCUCGGAAGACCUAGUGGCGAACGGGUGAGUAACACGUGAGAAACCUGCCUCGGAGUGGGGAAUAACUCGAGGAAACUCGAGCUAAUACCGCAUACCUUCAUUUGACCGCAUGGUCAGUUGAAGAAAGAUUUAUCGCUCUGAGAGGGUCUCGCGGCCUAUCAGCUUGUUGGUGGGGUAACGGCCUACCAAGGCAACGACGGGUAGCUGGAUUGAGAGAUCGACCAGCCACACUGGAACUGAGACACGGUCCAGACUCCUACGGGAGGCAGCAGUGGGGAAUCUUGCGCAAUGGGCGAAAGCCUGACGCAGCAACGCCGCGUGCGGGAUGAAGGCCUUCGUGGUUGUAAACCGCUUUCAGUAGGGACGAAAAUGACGGUACCUGCAGAAGAAGCUCCGGCUAACUACGUG